CAGUAGCCGCGGUAAUACGAGGGGGGCAAGCGUUGUUCGGAAUUAUUGGGCGUAAAGGGUGCGUAGGCGGUUUGAUAAGUCAUCUGUGAAAUCUCUGGGCUCAACCCAGAGUCUGCAGGCGAAACUGUCGAGCUUGAGUAUUGGAGAGGUGAGUGGAAUUUCCGGUGUAGCGGUGAAAUGCGUAGAUAUCGGAAGGAACACCUGUGGCGAAAGCGGCUCACUGGACAAUUACUGACGCUGAUGCACGAAAGCUAGGGGAGCGAACGGGAUUAGAUACCCCGGUAGUCCCUGUCUCUUAUAA
Molecule: ribosomal RNA, 301 nt
Filed under: uncultured bacterium
Lineage: Bacteria
Description: partial 16S ribosomal RNA
Rfam family: Bacterial small subunit ribosomal RNA
Source: RNAcentral